GACGAACGCUGGCGGCGUGCUUAACACAUGCAAGUCGAACGGAAAGGCCCUGCUUUUGUGGGGUACUCGAGUGGCGAACGGGUGAGUAACACGUGAGUAACCUGCCCUUGACUUUGGGAUAACUUCAGUAAACUGGGGCCAAUACCGGAUAGGAGCUCCUGCUGCAUGGGGGGGGUUGGAAAGUUUCGGCGGUUGGGGAUGGACUCGCGGCUUAUCAGCUUGUUGGUGGGGUAGUGGCUUACCAAGGCUUUGACGGGUAGCCGGCCUGAGAGGGUGACCGGCCACAUUGGGACUGAGAUGAGGCCCAGACUCCUACGGGAGGCAGCAGUGGUGAGUAUUGCACAGUGGGCGGAAGCCUGAUGCAGCAACGACGCGUGCGGGAUGACGGCCUUCGGGUUGUAAACCGCUUUCGCCUGUGACGAAGCGUGAGUGACGGUAAUGGGUAAAGAAGCACCGGCUAACUACGUG
RNAcentral lists this ribosomal RNA (468 nucleotides) under uncultured bacterium. RNAcentral's name for it is "partial 16S ribosomal RNA". It matches the Rfam family "Bacterial small subunit ribosomal RNA", at positions 28 to 507 of the family's 1533-position model. The record is from RNAcentral.